AGAGCGAACGCUGGCGGCAGGCUUAACACAUGCAAGUCGAGCGCCCCGCAAGGGGAGCGGCAGACGGGAGAGUAACACGUGGGAACGUACCUUUCGGUUCGGAACAACCCAGGGAAACUUGGGCUAAUACCGGAUACGUCCGUAAGGAGAAAGAUUUAUCGCCGAAAGAUCGGCCCGCGUCUGAUUAGCUAGUUGGUGAGGUAACGGCUCACAAAGGCGACGAUCAGUAGCUGGUCUGAGAGGAUGAUCAGCCUCACUGGGACUGAGACACGGCCCAGACUCCUACGGGAGGCAGUAGUGGGGAAUAUUGCGCAAUGGGCGAAAGCCUGACGCAGCGACGCCGCGUGGGGGAUGAAGGCCUUCGGGUUGUAAACCCCUUUCAGCAGGGACGAAGCGAAAGUGACGGUACCUGCAGAAGAAGCGCCGGCUAACUACGCGCCAGCAGCCGC
This 449-nucleotide ribosomal RNA is filed under the name uncultured bacterium. Its description in RNAcentral is "SSU rRNA". It matches the Rfam family "Bacterial small subunit ribosomal RNA", at positions 26 to 518 of the family's 1533-position model. The record is from RNAcentral.